Mustela erminea (ermine) is the source of this 2081-nucleotide long non-coding RNA. RefSeq lists it as uncharacterized. NCBI's taxonomy places the organism in Eukaryota, Metazoa, Chordata, Mammalia, Carnivora, Mustelidae. The record is from RefSeq and is a predicted model, not a curated record. The transcript has 3 exons.
GGUGACGGGACGAGGGAUCCUAAGGAGAAGGCGCGCCCUGCCUAAUCUUUGGCAGUCUCCCACCCGGUCCCCUCGAACAGACCCCGCUCAGCUGUUCCCGCUUGUCUCGACUGGGCGGGUGAGGACCUGGUUCCCACAUCGGAUUCCGGGUACCUGCACCGAAAACAGAUUUUAUCAAGGCAUCUGACAAUGACUUUCAACCAUAUUCUGUAGAGGAAAACAAAUGGAGAAAUGUGUGUCUGUGAAACGGCAACUAAGGAGACUAGCAAAUGGUGGGACAAAUGAUCAAAGACUCAAUUUAAUGAAGACUGAUCCAUUAGGAGAUUCCUGCUGGUGGAUUCUGAGCCAACAAAUGAAGACUGGCCUUCAUGUCACAAAAACUCACGAUAGUUGCCUUAAAUGUUAGGUAGAACCAAUGAGAACACUAUUUCUGGAUGUCAAAAAUGUCCACAUACUCAACCUAAUAGGUGCAUGGUUGUCUCACAAUGACACCCUCUCUUCUAAAUCUCUGGAUAAUGAAUGCUAAUGUCUCACUGAUACACUGACAAAUCCUCACUCCACUGUGCAAAUGACCCCCAACAUUCUAGAUCCACGUUCCAUUACUGCCCCACGUAUAUCCAACAUUCCAGCCAAAGUGGACCGCUCACUAUUCUCCAAACAUACCCCAACUUUCUCGUCUCUGCCUUUGGGCUACAGCUUCUAAAAUCCCUUCCUUCUGUCCCGUCCCGUAGCCCUCCUUUGUAUGGUGUACCAGGAUGGAAAUCUGCUCGCAAUAUACUCCCAGGAAAGACAACAAGAUGACAAACAAGGCCAUUCUAGAGGAACCAGACCAGGUGUGGCAGGAUGAGGAGGACAAAAGUGAAAGAUUAUCCAACCAGAAGGUUCCUGAGAAGAAAGGAAAUAAAUGAAGCAGAAUGCUUUGGCAGAAAGAGCCUUUCCUCCAGGAAGCUUUCUUUGCUCUCCUCCUCUGGAUUGGACGCUUCUUUUACCUAAAGCAGUUGGACCUCAAACAGUGGAGCCAGAAGUCAUGGAAGUUUGUCCUGUGUUCUGUAAUGCAGUAUGGUGACAGAAAGGCAAAGGUCAUGACGGAAAGGAUAAACUCACAAAGACUCUGGCCAUUCAGCCAACAACCGUCAACCAGAAGGGCCUCCCCAGUGUUGAGCACCGUCCAACCUUUGGAUGUUUGCACGUUUGGAGAGAGGAACUCCAAUAGCGAGUAAGGUUUAAUUUCCUGCCUGUAAGUUGAUUGGAGAUUUUGAAUCAGAUCCAGUUUGAUUUAAAGGAAAUUAAGAAAUCGGAUCGGCUUUGCACACCUGGGUUUGUAUCCUGAGCUCCAUUCCCACUGCAACAGGCAGUUUAUCCUGAGGAAGUUUGAACCCGAAGAUGAAUCUGUGCAUGUGGCCUUUGUAUCAAUAUCCACGCCCUGGUCUUCCCAGUAUCCAGUCAGCUCGGGCCUGUGCCCAGGCUACUCUGAGGGCCUGUUACCCAAUUAUCUCGUUAUAGGUUAAGAUGAACACAGCAGAGCAAUACACAAGAGAAGGUGUCCCCGAUCUUUCCCUUUUAAGACCUACCACCAUGCUGGGCUUCCCACAUGCGUCAGAGUACCACACAAUACAAUAUCUUGCCUGUUUGCACCGCUGUUGGAGAACUCAUUAACCUUAUUUUUGAGUCUUAACGCAUCUUUGCCAAAUGAUUCCUCUCUUCUCCUUCAGCCCAAACGGCAGGUUCUAUAUCUGACCCAUGCCCUGAGUCAGGUUGCUGCAUACAAAUGUUAAACAAAUGUGUUCAAAAUCAAAACCCCUAGAAGUUUCUGAGGCCUGUAAAAUCCUGCUCACAUCAAAGUACCUUCCCAGCUUUAUCUUACACCACCCACCCCACACACACCCACACCACACCACACUACAAGCUGGCCACACCCAGUCGCUUCCUAGCCUGAGCCCACCAGAUUCAUUUACACACUUACACUCAUUUACACUCUUUGUGCUUCUACACACAGGAUUCCUCCUUCCCACUGACCUCUCCCUUCACUGGAUAACACCAACUCAAACUUCAAGAUCCACCUCAGAGGUCACCAUGUCCCU